Long non-coding RNA from Homo sapiens (human), 3012 nucleotides. RefSeq lists it as uncharacterized. Lineage: Eukaryota; Metazoa; Chordata; Mammalia; Primates; Hominidae. The record is from RefSeq and is a predicted model, not a curated record. The transcript has 2 exons.
GCCUCAUUUAUUUAUUAAGUGAAGCAAUUAUGCCGCAUUAGAGAGGGGCAGGGAUACCAUACCUGUCUCAGGCUUAUAAAGCUAAAUGGUAUUUGCCUGACUGUAAGUAUGAUAAUACAGGAAACAAUUUCCUUUUCUGACUGACCCUUCCCCUAAAAAGAAUUGCAGGCAACAGGAGCGGUUAAAUACUAGUUAACAGGAUAUUGACUUUCUUUGUUUUAAAAUGACAAAUGAAUUUGAAGCCAGUAAAUGAUCUUGCUUCCAGGUGAUAUCUUUUUUAGACAAGUUAUUCAGCAAGUAGAAACAUAACCUUUAAUAUCACUACAAAGUUAUGAAAAAAAUUACAUGCACAUUUGAGAUCAACCAGGUGGAGAUGAGUAAUUAAUGCUUCAAUCCUUUGAAUUUGAUUGGAGCACCAAAUUAAAAAUAUAGAAGCAGUUGGCUCUGGUGGUUUAUGCAGUAGUCUCAUGGGUCUUCUGUUUCCCUUUCUGGUUUGGUUGCAAGUGAAAGAGAGUUUAGUGGUUUCAUCAUUGUUGUAGUAAAACCAUUGCAUCUUUCUUAAUAUUUUGACCACAUCUUCCUUUUUUACUUAAAUAUUCUACUCAAGCUCAAAUUUUUUGUCACCUUAAGAGUUCUUCUUGGCUAUUCUACCAUCAUGUGAGUCUACCCUUAUUAUAUACUCAUGUUAUUCCUAAUUAUUUGCUUUUUGUCUUCUACCUUUUCCAUUUUAAUUUGUAUAUGAAAAGCAAGCAGUAAUCCAAAGUCCUCUUGAUACUACCUAGAAACCUCAGGUUUUUCAUGUAUGUUGGCCACAGGAGUGAGACAUCAUUCUUUAUUUAUUUGCCCUUGCUAGUUGUUCACACAAGUUAUUAUUGGUUUGUGCCUCUAGAAUUUGACCUGAGGAGUUUUUGGGUUUUGGGUUGUAUUGUUUUGUUUAAAUUCAUUGCCACCAUUGAAAAAUGGGUUUUCACAUUAAAAUCUGGAUGGCACUUCUUAAAAAGAGGAGAAUCUGGAACAUGAGCUAGCAUGCUAGAUAGGACAUAUACAGGAUUCUUACACUGUCUUUUGCUUUGCCCUGCACCACCCAGCAAAUAUCAUUCAUUUCAUUCAUUCAUGUUAUUUGGCCCUUGCAAGCGUUCACAUGCUUAACUCUUACUUUGACUUUACAUUUUGGGAGAUGUUGUGUACAUUAGUAACUUUAAGUUUUUAAGCACCUUCGUUUCCUUCUAAACUACUGUCUUGGUUUGGUGCAGUGUCUCACACCUGUAAUCCCAACACUUUGGGAGCCUGAGGUGGGAAGAAUGCUUGAGCACACGAGUUUAAAACCAGCCUGGGCAACAUGGCAAGACCCCUGUCUCCUUAAAAAAUUUAAAAAUUAGCCAAGUAUGAUGGCAUGCAUCUGUGGUCCCAGCUACUCAGGAGGCUGAAGCAGGAGGAUUGCUUGAGCCCAGGAGGUUGAGUCUGCAGUGAGCUAUGUUUGUACCACUGCACUCCAGUCUGGGCAACAGAGCAAGAUCCUGUCUCAACAAAUAAAAAAUAAACUACUAUCUAAUUUAGUCCCCAACUAGCUCUUUCAUAGACUCUCAGCAAAGUCAAGGGCUAAAGAAUUUGGAAAUAAAAGGCAAAAUUGCCAUUCUUCUUCUAUAAUACAAACGUUCUAAGAUAUAUCCUCCGUCAGGUUCUAGUGUAGCCUGACUUUUUUCUCGUAUAUGAAUGGUUUUCUCUCUGAACUUUACAGGCAGGUGCCCUGAUUAAAAAUACUUCACCUUCCAGCCCCCAAGAAGGUUAAAGCAAUUUUCAUUCCUAGAAAAGUGAAUUAAAAUGUCUUUGGCACCCUUUUCAUACAUAGCACUCACAUAACUCAUAUUCCAGAUUGGCACGGCAAAUUAGCUUCAUCCUCAUAGGUUAGCAGGUUGUUAGGAGGGUUUUCUCAGAAUCUAUUCAGGAGAGUUCCCUUUAGAUCAGAAUUGUCCCCUUUAUUUCACCUCACUCUUAGGUACAGGUGAAGGUUGUCCUAGGAGUAAAUGUUAGUCUUCCCUCUUGAGAAUCAUUGUUUAAGUACUUUUCCCAAAUACAAAUGGAUUCGUUGGUUCAAAAUUAGUCUAUUUCUUUUAUUUCUUUAUCUAGACCCCCUGUACUAUAGCUAGUCUACAAAAUAUUUAUUAUGUUCGUAUUACAGGUUUCUUAUACUGUGGAAUAUGUAUUGGUCAUCUUCAAAGAACACAUCAUUUUGUUGGGGAGAUAAGACUAGUAGUGUGAGGUCUCCUUAAUAGGGAUGCCCUCCCUUGGGUUGCCAGGUCACUAGGCUUUUGAAAGCAGAAGAUUAUGCCAUUUGUUUUGAUUGGAUGAACCAGACGUUUCACUAAACCACAUAAUGUGAAAAAAAUGCAAGUCUUUUUCUAUAGUUUAAAUGUAGACAUCUUGAAAAUGAGUAAGUAAUCUAAUAAAUUAUAAAGACCUUUGAAAUGGUUUUAUUGUUUUAUGAGAAACUAUUGAUUUGUAACUUUGAAUGUAAGUUAUAAAAUAAUGUUACUUAAAUAUGACCAGUUUACAUGAAUGUUUUUAUCUGAUCUGCAGAAAUUCAAGAUUAUUUAAAUAUCAUUCUUUAGAGUGAAAGAAAUGUAAUCAUUCCAUUAACAGUGUUUUCACAGGGUACUACUGUGUAAAUGCAGAAGGGGUGAGCCCUUUGAUAUGGGAGAAGUAAUUGAAAUUCUCGUAAUGAGACUAAGAAGACACCUUCUUCACCUAACUCAGUUAUUCACAGCUAACUUAGUGGUUUGAGGUCACAUGUUUUACUAAACACCUACCUAGUCAUAGGAUAGCUAUUUUUUAAAAAUAUAAUAAGCCAGGACCUAAAGAUAAGAAGUCACUUCUUUUGACCAGAGAAGUGGACAAAAGUUAGUCUAAAGUAGAGAUAAUUACCUCUAGAGCUUUCUGGUCACCAUCACAACUGAUUGAGGCUAAAAGUAAAUAGGAGGACCAGAGAAACUGAGAAAGAAAGGAGGGAAAGAG